RNAcentral lists this long non-coding RNA (1504 nucleotides) under Brachypodium distachyon (stiff brome). RNAcentral describes it as "long non-coding RNA (BDIS_LNC003500)". Lineage: Eukaryota; Viridiplantae; Streptophyta; Magnoliopsida; Poales; Poaceae. The record is from RNAcentral.
CUACCUUGAAUGCGAUUAUAUAGACGCUAGAACGUGCAGCUGCAAUUUUUCCGUCUCCCUGGCGCACACAAGUGACGACCUCACGUUCUCAUGAUGCAAACAAAUCCGUUGAUACAUUCAGACACAGGCAGCGGUGGGCCCCGUUAAAAUACCAAAUCCAAACACCUAUUCCUUUCUCCCCCAACAUGGUUUCCCAGCCCCGAUCCGCCCCACGACCAAAUCAACCUGGAGCGGCUGGAGCCUCCAAAUCCGCCCGAAUCCACGCCGGAAUCGCUGCAAUUUCACGCCGCCGGCCGUGUUAACCGCGGCCAUCGUCCUCCGCCGUCUCCCCUGUCCCGACCCACGCCGAAUCAGCCUUGAUUUGGCAGCGCCGGCCGCCUACCUGGCUAGCCGCUGCGGCCCUCAUCCUCCGCCGUCUCCCCUGUCCCGACCCACGCCGAAUCAGCCUUGAUUUGGCGGCGCCGGCCGCCUACCUGGCUAGCCGCGGCGGCCCUCAUCCUCCGCCGUCUCCCCUGUCCCGACCCACGCCAAAUCAGCCUUGAUUUGGCGGCGCCGGCCGCCUACCUCGCUAGCCGCGGCGGACCCUCAUCCUCCACCCCGCACUAGUCGCCUCCUCCUCGUUGGCGGCGGCAGCGGCCCCAGCGGAGACGGCAACACCGGCCCUGACGCCGCGCGAGAUGUGCUCCAGGGCGACAUCGUCCUCUAGGGCGUCGAAGACGAGGGCCUCCGGAGUGGCGUCCCAGAGCUGGCUGAGCUGCUCAGGAGCGUCCAAGGCGGCCACGGAUGAGAGCUCGUGAAACGUUGCAAAGAGAUCAUCGAGGAGGAGCGCAUCCAGUUUCGGUGAGAGAUCUUCGGUGGCUGUACUCGUGUCCGUUGAUGCUUGUUGGCUGCUCGGAGUUGGGGCAGGCUGGGAUGGUGGUGGUGGAGCCCUGCGUCGACGUGCUAGGCCUAGGCUAGGCUAAUUGUGUUAAUUAACGCAUGUGACUUAGUCCAUAACCAACCUCAUGAACUGGUGUGAUCACACGUUCUCUGUUUUCCAGGAUGAGCUCGUUAGUGAUCCAAAUUAUUAGGAGAGUUACUAGCUUAUACACGUUGUAAACUUGUACCUGUAUUUGAAUCGAUCCGGUGCAGCGAACACGAAGUUUGGCUGUUCCCAAGGGCGGCCGGGAGCCUCGGCGGGUUCAGCGAGUGGUUGGCAGGGCUGUUGCUGCCCACCACAAGCUCCUCCAUGUGCAAGGGCCAACCGGAAGAAUUUAGUGAGAUCUGAAAAGAUAGUUGUGUUUUUAUCAAAAUUAAUUUGUCACACUCGUGUAAAGUUGCGAGAACGGCUGACAAAGUUGCCAGCUUUAGAAGAAAAUUGUCUACAUAAAAGAUAGCACACGUUAGCAAAAGCAACGAUCGGACACACCAAAGAUGUUUGCGAUGGGGUGAAAAAUUCUAGAGUGGAGCAAAAACUGUUAGCGGGUGGAACCAAAGUUGCUAGUAUGCCGAUCAAAAAAAAGUU